Salvia splendens (bonfire salvia) is the source of this 664-nucleotide long non-coding RNA. RefSeq lists it as uncharacterized. Lineage: Eukaryota; Viridiplantae; Streptophyta; Magnoliopsida; Lamiales; Lamiaceae. The transcript has 3 exons. The record is from RefSeq and is a predicted model, not a curated record.
UCUCCAAAUCCAGAUUCUGAAUCUCUUCUCCUCUCCGUCGCCAUCUCUUCUCCUCUCUGUUUCCCAUCUCUUCUCCUCCCCGUCGCCUCCGCCCUCCAGCCGUGCUCCAGAUUCUUGCCCGUCUGCUCCUCUCCACGUUGGCGUCCCUCCACCCGACGACUCGUCGCCUUCCAGCGUCCAGCAGCCGCCUCCUCCCUCAGCCAGCCACGCCGCUCAAGAAGGUUGAAUUGAGUGACUAGUCUAAGCAACUGCACGGCGCCGCCUCCUCCGGGUUCCACCCAGCCGCCGCCUUCGCCUCUUCUCGAGGGUAGCGUCAGCCCUCUCAAGUCUGUGCCUUGAUGUUGAAUAAUGAAAGAGAAACCAUUGGAGAUAGCAUUGAUGUAACUAAAGUUACUCCCCAUGAGGAUGACAAAGGCCAUGAAAAAAAGAGAAGUUCUUCCCUUGAUACUUGGAAGUUUGAUCAAGAAAAGGCUAAGAAGGCUUUAGGUUUUAAGCUAAUUGUUGAUGAGUUGCCUAGAUAUGUAAAUUUUGUUGGUUGAUGUAUGUUAAUCAUGUUAUUAUAGUUUUGUGAUUUUUUUUUAAUUUUGGUUUUUUGGUUUUUUGGUUUUUUCAUACAAUUUCGGUUUUUGGUUGAAAUUUAAAAAAUUUCGGUUUUUCGGUUUAA